Molecule: ribosomal RNA, 484 nt
Filed under: uncultured bacterium
Lineage: Bacteria
Description: partial 16S ribosomal RNA
Rfam family: Bacterial small subunit ribosomal RNA
Source: RNAcentral
AUUGAACGCUGGCGGCAGGCCUAACACAUGCAAGUCGAGCGGAUGAAGGGAGCUUGCUCCUGGAUUCAGCGGAGGACGGGUGAGUAAUGCCUAGGAAUCUGCCUGGCAGUGGGGGAUAACGUCCGGAAACGGGCGCUAAUACCGCAUACGUCCUGAGGGAGAAAGUGGGGGAUCUUCGGACCUCACGCUAUCAGAUGAGCCUAGGUCGGAUUAGCUAGUUGGUGGGGUAAAGGCCUACCAAGGCGACGAUCCGUAACUGGUCUGAGAGGAUGAUCAGUCACACUGGCACUGAGACACGGUCCAGACUCCUACGGGAGGCAGCAGUGGGGAAUAUUGGACAAUGGGCGAAAGCCUGAUCCAGCCAUGCCGCGUGUGUGAAGAAGGGCUUCGGAUUGUAAAGCACUUUAAGUUGGGAGGAAGGGCAGUAAGUUAAUGCCUUGCUGUUUUGACGUUACCAAAAGAAUAAGCACCGGCUAACUUCGUG